Molecule: unclassified non-coding RNA, 222 nt
Filed under: Hevea brasiliensis (rubber tree)
Lineage: Eukaryota; Viridiplantae; Streptophyta; Magnoliopsida; Malpighiales; Euphorbiaceae
Source: RNAcentral
GUUGAAGAUGUCACUAGGAAAGCAGAGGUCUACGCUGAUAACGUCUGGCACCAUCUCAAAGUUAGUUCCAGUUUCACAGAUGCAGCAAUGGCAAGGAUUGCUCAAGGGACAAAGGUUCUCGCUGAAGGAGGGCAUGAUAAAGUAUUCCAGCAGACAUUUGGGAGCUUGCCUGGAGAGAAGCUCGUGAAGGCCUAUGUUUGCUAUCUGUCAACAAUCUCUGGC